Molecule: non-coding RNA, 29 nt
Filed under: Mus musculus (house mouse)
Lineage: Eukaryota; Metazoa; Chordata; Mammalia; Rodentia; Muridae
Source: RNAcentral
UCAAUGACUAGUGCUCUCAUUUUAUAGAC